AUUGAACGCUGGCGGAAUGCUUUACACAUGCAAGUCGAGCGGCAGCGCGGCCUUCGGGCUGGCGGCGAGCGGCGAACGGGUGAGUAAUGCAUCGGAACAUGCCCAGUCGUGGGGGAUAACACUUCGAAAGAAGUGCUAAUACCGCAUACGUCCUGAGGGGGAAAGCGGGGGAUCGCAAGACCUCGCGCGAUUGGAGUGGCCGAUGUCAGAUUAGCUAGUUGGUGGGGUAAAGGCCUACCAAGGCGACGAUCUGUGGCUGGUCUGAGAGGAUGAUCAGCCACACUGGGACUGAGACACGGCCCAGACUCCUACGGGAGGCAGCAGUGGGGAAUUUUGGACAAUGGGGGCAACCCUGAUCCAGCCAUUCCGCGUGAGUGAAGAAGGCCUUCGGGUUGUAAAGCUCUUUCGGCAGGAACGAAACGGUGGGCUCUAACAUAGUCCGCUAAUGACGGUACCUGAAGAAGAAGCACCGGCUAACUACGUG
This 484-nucleotide ribosomal RNA is filed under the name uncultured bacterium. RNAcentral's name for it is "partial 16S ribosomal RNA". It matches the Rfam family "Bacterial small subunit ribosomal RNA", at positions 29 to 507 of the family's 1533-position model. The record is from RNAcentral.